AUUGGGUUUAAAGGGUCCGCAGGCGGACGUAUAAGUCAGUGGUGAAAUCCUGCAGCUUAACUGCAGAACUGCCAUUGAUACUGUACGUCUUGAAUUCGGUCGAAGUGGGCGGAAUGUGUAGUGUAGCGGUGAAAUGCAUAGAUAUUACACAGAACACCGAUAGCGAAGGCAGCUCACUAGGCCUGGAUUGACGCUCAGGGACGAAAGCGUGGGGAUCAAACAGGAUUAGAUACCCUGGUAGUCCACGCUGUAAACGAUGAUUACUCGUUUUCGGCGAUAUACAGUCGGAGACUAAGCGAAAGUGAUAAGUAAUCCACCUGGGGAGUACGAUCGCAAGGUUGAAACUCAAAGGAAUUGACGGGGGCCCGCACAAGCGGUGGAGCAUGUGGUUUAAUUCGAUGAUACGCGAGGAACCUUACCAGGGCUUAAAUGCAGAGCGAAUAGUUUGGAAACAGGCUAGCCUUCGGGCGAUCUGCAAGGUGCUGCAUGGCU
RNAcentral lists this ribosomal RNA (492 nucleotides) under uncultured Fluviicola sp. RNAcentral's name for it is "bacterial SSU rRNA". It matches the Rfam family "Bacterial small subunit ribosomal RNA", at positions 553 to 1050 of the family's 1533-position model. Lineage: Bacteria; Pseudomonadati; Bacteroidota; Flavobacteriia; Flavobacteriales; Crocinitomicaceae. The record is from RNAcentral.